AAGUCGUAACAAGGUUGCCGUAGGGGAACCUGCGGCAGGAUCACAGCGAGAGGCCGGGGGGCGAGGACGGGGGAGCGCAGCAAUGUUCUCUCCUGUGUUCGCCCCGCUCGGCAGCAAGCCCCUGUGAAGUGUGAUGCUGUGCGGACGAGGGUGCCUGUACCGGGUGCCGCGUCCGCACGGGAGAGAAACAAAUCUCAUUCGGGUGUUCCAGCAUGCGAUAAUAAACAAACAACAACAACAACUCUCAACAAUGGAUCUCUUGGCUCCU
Molecule: unclassified non-coding RNA, 268 nt
Filed under: fungal sp.
Lineage: Eukaryota; Fungi
Description: partial internal transcribed spacer region
Rfam family: Eukaryotic small subunit ribosomal RNA (bases 1-46)
Source: RNAcentral